This 72-nucleotide transfer RNA is filed under the name Salmo salar (Atlantic salmon). It matches the Rfam family "tRNA". Rfam says of the family: Transfer RNA (tRNA) molecules are approximately 80 nucleotides in length. Their secondary structure includes four short double-helical elements and three loops (D, anti-codon, and T loops). Further hydrogen bonds mediate the characteristic L-shaped molecular structure. tRNAs have two regions of fundamental functional importance: the anti-codon, which is responsible for specific mRNA codon recognition, and the 3' end, to which the tRNAs corresponding amino acid is attached (by aminoacyl-tRNA synthetases). tRNAs cope with the degeneracy of the genetic code in two manners: having more than one tRNA (with a specific anti-codon) for a particular amino acid; and 'wobble' base-pairing, i.e. permitting non-standard base-pairing at the 3rd anti-codon position. The record is from Rfam by way of RNAcentral. Lineage: Eukaryota; Metazoa; Chordata; Actinopteri; Salmoniformes; Salmonidae.
UCCCGUGUGGCUCAGUUGGUAGAGCAUGGUGUUUGCAAUGCCAGGGUUGUGGGUUUGAUUCCCACAAGGGAC